GGCGGCGUGCCUAAUACAUGCAAGUAGAACGCUGAAGAGAGGAGCUUGCUCUUCUUGGAUGAGUUGCGAACGGGUGAGUAACGCGUAGGUAACCUGCCUUGUAGCGGGGGAUAACUAUUGGAAACGAUAGCUAAUACCGCAUAACAAUGGAUGACACAUGUCAUUUAUUUGAAAGGGGCAAUUGCUCCACUACAAGAUGGACCUGCGUUGUAUUAGCUAGUAGGUGAGGUAACGGCUCACCUAGGCGACGAUACAUAGCCGACCUGAGAGGGUGAUCGGCCACACUGGGACUGAGACACGGCCCAGACUCCUACGGGAGGCAGCAGUAGGGAAUCUUCGGCAAUGGGGGCAACCCUGACCGAGCAACGCCGCGUGAGUGAAGAAGGUUUUCGGAUCGUAAAGCUCUGUUGUAAGUCAAGAACGAGUGUGAGAGUGGAAAGUUCACACUGUGACGGUAGCUUACCAGAAAGGGACGGCUAACUACGUGCCAGCAGCCGCGGUAAUACGUAGGUCCCGAGCGUUGUCCGGAUUUAUUGGGCGUAAAGCGAGCGCAGGCGGUUUGAUAAGUCUGAAGUUAAAGGCUGUGGCUCAACCAUAGUUCGCUUUGGAAACUGUCAAACUUGAGUGCAGAAGGGGAGAGUGGAAUUCCAUGUGUAGCGGUGAAAUGCGUAGAUAUAUGGAGGAACACCGGUGGCGAAAGCGGCUCUCUGGUCUGUAACUGACGCUGAGGCUCGAAAGCGUGGGGAGCGAACAGGAUUAGAUACCCUGGUAGUCCACGCCGUAAACGAUGAGUGCUAGGUGUUGGAUCCUUUCCGGGAUUCAGUGCCGCAGCUAACGCAUUAAGCACUCCGCCUGGGGAGUACGACCGCAAGGUUGAAACUCAAAGGAAUUGACGGGGGCCCGCACAAGCGGUGGAGCAUGUGGUUUAAUUCGAAGCAACGCGAAGAACCUUACCAGGUCUUGACAUCCCGAUGCUAUUUCUAGAGAUAGAAAGUUACUUCGGUACAUCGGUGACAGGUGGUGCAUGGUUGUCGUCAGCUCGUGUCGUGAGAUGUUGGGUUAAGUCCCGCAACGAGCGCAACCCCUAUUGUUAGUUGCCAUCAUUCAGUUGGGCACUCUAGCGAGACUGCCGGUAAUAAACCGGAGGAAGGUGGGGAUGACGUCAAAUCAUCAUGCCCCUUAUGACCUGGGCUACACACGUGCUACAAUGGUUGGUACAACGAGUUGCGAGUCGGUGACGGCAAGCUAAUCUCUUAAAGCCAAUCUCAGUUCGGAUUGUAGGCUGCAACUCGCCUACAUGAAGUCGGAAUCGCUAGUAAUCGCGGAUCAGCACGCCGCGGUGAAUACGUUCCCGGGCCUUGCACACACCGCCCGUCA
RNAcentral lists this ribosomal RNA (1377 nucleotides) under uncultured bacterium. RNAcentral's name for it is "16S ribosomal RNA". It matches the Rfam family "Bacterial small subunit ribosomal RNA", at positions 38 to 1399 of the family's 1533-position model. The record is from RNAcentral.